GACGAACGCUGGCGGCGUGCUUAACACAUGCAAGUCGAACGGAAAGGCCCUGCUUUUGUGGGGUGCUCGAGUGGCGAACGGGUGAGUAACACGUGAGUAACCUGCCCUUGACUUUGGGAUAACUUCAGGAAACUGGGGCUAAUACCGGAUAGGAGCUCCUGCUGCAUGGUGGGGGUUGGAAGGUUUCGGCGGUUGGGGAUGGACUCGCGGCAUAUCAGCUUGUUGGUGGGGUAGUGGCUUACCAAGGCUUUGACGGGUAGCCGGCCUGAGAGGGUGACCGGCCACAUUGGGACUGAGAUACGGCCCAGACUCCUACGGGAGGCAGCAGUGGGAAAUAUUGCACAAUGGGCGGAAGCCUGAUGCAGCAACGCCGCGUGCGGGAUGACGGCCUUCGGGUUGUAAACCGCUUUCGCCUGUGACGAAGCGUGAGUGACGGUAAUGGGUAAAGAAGCACCGGCUAACUACGUG
RNAcentral lists this ribosomal RNA (468 nucleotides) under uncultured bacterium. RNAcentral describes it as "partial 16S ribosomal RNA". It matches the Rfam family "Bacterial small subunit ribosomal RNA", at positions 28 to 507 of the family's 1533-position model. The record is from RNAcentral.